This 253-nucleotide ribosomal RNA is filed under the name uncultured bacterium. Its description in RNAcentral is "partial 16S ribosomal RNA". It matches the Rfam family "Bacterial small subunit ribosomal RNA", at positions 524 to 776 of the family's 1533-position model. The record is from RNAcentral.
UACGAAGGGGGCUAGCGUUGCUCGGAAUCACUGGGCGUAAAGGGUGCGUAGGCGGGUUCUUAAGUCAGAGGUGAAAUCCUGGAGCUCAACUCCAGAACUGCCUUUGAUACUGAGAGUCUUGAGUUCGGGAGAGGUGAGUGGAACUGCGAGUGUAGAGGUGAAAUUCGUAGAUAUUCGCAAGAACACCAGUGGCGAAGGCGGCUCACUGGCCCGGAACUGACGCUGAGGUGCGAAAGCGUGGGGAGCAAACAGG